RNAcentral lists this ribosomal RNA (554 nucleotides) under uncultured bacterium. RNAcentral describes it as "bacterial SSU rRNA". It matches the Rfam family "Bacterial small subunit ribosomal RNA", at positions 8 to 552 of the family's 1533-position model. The record is from RNAcentral.
AGAGUUUGAUCAUGGCUCAGGAUGAACGCUAGCUACAGGCUUAACACAUGCAAGUCGAGGGGCAGCAUCAUCAAAGCUUGCUUUGAUGGAUGGCGACCGGCGCACGGGUGAGUAACACGUAUCCAACCUGCCGACAACACUGGGAUAGCCUUUCGAAAGAAAGAUUAAUACCGGAUGGCAUAGUUUUCCCGCAUGGGAUAAUUAUUAAAGAAUUUCGGUUGUCGAUGGGGAUGCGUUCCAUUAGGCAGUUGGCGGGGUAACGGCCCACCAAACCUACGAUGGAUAGGGGUUCUGAGAGGAAGGUCCCCCACAUUGGAACUGAGACACGGUCCAAACUCCUACGGGAGGCAGCAGUGAGGAAUAUUGGUCAAUGGACGAGAGUCUGAACCAACCAAGUAGCGUGAAGGAUGACUGCCCUAUGGGUUGUAAACUUCUUUUAUACGGGAAUAAAGUGAGCCACGUGUGGCUUUUUGUAUGUACCGUAUGAAUAAGGAUCGGCUAACUCCGUGCCAGCAGCCGCGGUAAUACGGAGGAUUCGAGCGUUAUCCGGAUUU